Long non-coding RNA from Podarcis muralis (Common wall lizard), 301 nucleotides. RefSeq lists it as uncharacterized. The record is from RefSeq and is a predicted model, not a curated record. NCBI's taxonomy places the organism in Eukaryota, Metazoa, Chordata, Lepidosauria, Squamata, Lacertidae.
UCUACGGGCAGCGGCAGGGCCCAAAAACCCGCGGGGCGCGAAGCCGCACCUCGCCGCGCGAAGGUUCGAGGAGAGCGCGCAGGCGCGAAGUCCCGCUGGCCUGGGGUGGCCUCGGCGGCCGGGCGCCCCUUGCAAGCGGACAUUACCGUAUUCCCUCGAAAGCAGGGGCUGCCCAGCUCGCUUCGUUUGCACGGACUCGAGGUCGUUUACCGAUUACAACCAAGAACCGCUAAAAACAAAAGAAAAAACCAUCGUUGAAAAAGCAAGCUUUUGUUUGUUUAAAUUAAAUGCAUUUUUUGAA